This 92-nucleotide transfer RNA is filed under the name Pseudarthrobacter sulfonivorans. RNAcentral's name for it is "tRNA-Trp". Lineage: Bacteria; Bacillati; Actinomycetota; Actinomycetes; Micrococcales; Micrococcaceae. The record is from RNAcentral.
GCGCGGAGUUGCCGUGCGGUUGAUGGCACCGGCCUCCAGCGCCGCGAGGUAGUCAAAGAGGUGGGAGACUCCGACGGAACCUUUCCCGCGCA